This 433-nucleotide long non-coding RNA is filed under the name Mytilus galloprovincialis (Mediterranean mussel). Lineage: Eukaryota; Metazoa; Mollusca; Bivalvia; Mytilida; Mytilidae. The record is from RNAcentral.
CUUGAAUUUGAGGGUCUUAAUUGACUCAAUCAGUUCAAAUCUUUCACAUGAAAUUUAAUUAGGCCAAAAUCAGCCUUAACCAUACAUACAUGUACACCUUUAUAUACUCAAAGGAUUCUCUUUUUGAAAAUAAUAAAUACUAUAUUUACUUUUCAAUCAAUAGUCAAAUUGUAAAUGGACAAUUGUAGUGGAACUGGCUCAAGUACACCCCCCCCCCCAAAAAAAAAGAGAAAAGAAAGUAAAAAUAGCAGAAAUAAGAAUAAUUACCCUUUUCAAUUAUUUUGGCAGGGUCUGCAACUUUAUGUUGACUCUCAAGCGUCUCUGUAAUGUCUAAAUUUUUAUUUUGCGUCUUUACAUAAUAAAACUGACUGCCAAAGGAAGCAAGUUAUUUUGUUUGCUUUUUGCACUAAAUUAUGUUCAUGCAAGAAAGGGC